UGUCCCAGCCGCCGCGGUAAUACGUAGGGUGCAAGCGUUAUCCGGAAUUAUUGGGCGUAAAGGGCUCGUAGGCGGUUCGUCGCGUCCGGUGUGAAAGUCCAUCGCUUAACGGUGGAUCCGCGCCGGGUACGGGCGGGCUUGAGUGCGGUAGGGGAGACUGGAAUUCCCGGUGUAACGGUGGAAUGUGUAGAUAUCGGGAAGAACACCAAUGGCGAAGGCAGGUCUCUGGGCCGUUACUGACGCUGAGGAGCGAAAGCGUGGGGAGCGAACAGGAUUAGAUACCCUGGUAGUCCACGCCGUAAACGGUGGAUGCUGGAUGUGGGGCCCGUUCCACGGGUUCCGUGUCGGAGCUAACGCGUUAAGCAUCCCGCCUGGGGAGUACGGCCGCAAGGCUAAAACUCAAAGAAAUUGACGGGGGCCCGCACAAGCGGCGGAGCAUGCGGAUUAAUUCGAUGCAACGCGAAGAACCUUACCUGGGCUUGACAUGUUCCCGACGAUCCCAGAGAUGGGGUUUCCCUUCGGGGCGGGUUCACAGGUGGUGCAUGGUCGUCGUCAGCUCGUGUCGUGAGAUGUUGGGUUAAGUCCCGCAACGAGCGCAACCCUCGCCCCGUGUUGCCAGCGGAUUGUGCCGGGAACUCACGGGGGACCGCCGGGGUUAACUCGGAGGAAGGUGGGGAUGACGUCAGAUCAUCAUGCCCCUUACGUCCAGGGCUUCACGCAUGCUACAAUGGCCGGUACAACGGGAUGCGACGCGGCGACGCGGAGCGGAUCCCUGAAAACCGGUCUCAGUUCGGAUCGCAGUCUGCAACUCGACUGCGUGAAGGCGGAGUCGCUAGUAAUCGCGAAUCAGCAACGUCGCGGUGAAUGCGUUCCCGGGCCUUGUACACACCGCCCGUCAAGUCAUGAAAGUGGGCAGCACCCGAAGCCGGUGGCCUAACCCCUUGUGGGAUGGAGCCGUCUAAGGUGAGGCUCGUGAUUGGGACUAAGUCGUAACAAGGUAACCAAUCGA
This 1009-nucleotide ribosomal RNA is filed under the name uncultured Bifidobacterium sp. RNAcentral describes it as "bacterial SSU rRNA". It matches the Rfam family "Bacterial small subunit ribosomal RNA", at positions 504 to 1507 of the family's 1533-position model. Lineage: Bacteria; Bacillati; Actinomycetota; Actinomycetes; Bifidobacteriales; Bifidobacteriaceae. The record is from RNAcentral.